AUGGUUUUACGUACCAGACGGCCGACUGUUGCAAUACGUAGUGGUGACGAAGAAGACUUUGAUGAUGAUGGUGAUGAUGAUUACAGUGACAACAACGAUUAUGAUUAUAUCUGCAAAUAUGACGCUAGCCGCAACCAUGGCAGUGGUGAUGACAAGAGCAGUGAUGAUUACAGCUGCACCGAUGAUGAUAGCAACGAUGAUGGUGAUGAUAUUGACAAUGAUGAUGGUGGUGGUGGUGAUGCUACUGAUAAUUUAUGUGCAAUAUGUGACAAUGGAGGGAAAUUGCUAUGCUGUGAAGGACAAUGUAAAAGGUCCUUCCAUCCCAGAGGAAAAGAUGGAAGGGAAUCUAAUUGUGAAACUCUUGGUUUAACUUCUGCACAACUACAGGAAAUUGAUCAUUAUCUAUGCAAGAACUGUGAAUAUAAGCAACACCAAUGUUUCAGUUGUGGAGAUCUUGAGCCAUCUGAUGGGCCAAAUGCUAAGGUGUUCCAAUGCUACAAAGCAUCUUGUGGGCACUUCUACCACCCCGGUUGUAUUGCCAAAUUACUUGAGCCUGAUGAUACUGAUGGAGCUGGCGAAUUGGAGAGGAGGAUUGCUGCUGGGAUGUCAUUUACAUGUCCUGCACAUUGGUGCUCAGAAUGUAGAACGAUGGAAGACAGUACUCAACCAGAACUUUGGCUUGCGGCCUGCAGACGCUGUCCAGUGUCAUAUCACAAAAAAUGUUUCCCAAGAAGCAUUUCCUUUGAGAGAAAGCGUGGCACAAGUGUACGCGCUUGGCACCUGGGUGAUAGAAUUAUGAUUUACUGUGGAAGCCAUAAACUAGAAGCUGAGCUUGGAGCACCUAGCAGAGACCAUAUAAAGUUACCAUCUAGUACAGAAAUGGAUACUGUUGGAACACAUUGCAUUGACCAAAUAAAGUCAACUCCCGUUCCAAAAAUUUAUAGAACAAGAAAUCUUGCUAAGAAGAAAACAGAAGUGACUGGUAAAAGGAAAAUGAACACUGAUCAAGGUUCAACUGGAACUGCGGAGCUGUCAAACAAGGUAUGUCGAGAAGAAGCCGACCAGAUAAAGUUAACUCCCAUUCCAAAAAUUUAUAGGACAAGAAAUCUUGCUAAGAAAACAAAAGUGACUGGUAAAAGGAAAAUGAACACUGAUCAAGGUUCAACUGGAACUGCGGAGCUGUCAAUCAAGGUAUGUCGAGAAGAAGCCGACCAGAUAAAGUUAACUCCCGUUCCAAAAAUUUAUAGGACAAGAAAUCUUGCUAAGAAAACAGAAGUGACUGGUAAAAGGAAUAUGAACACCAAUCAAGGUUCAACAGGAACUGCGGAGCUGUCAAACAAGGUAUGUCGAGAAGAAGCCGACCAGAUCCAAACAGUAGAUAUGAAUAACUUAAGGGAAGAUAAGAUUCCAAAAGGGAGAGGUGUCCUCGAGAAAGAGACCAUCCGUUUAAAUCAAGCACACAGUGAUGAGCUAGAAAAGCUUAUUGUGGAGGAACAGGCUGAAGAGGAUGAAAACAACACCAAAUCUGGAGAAGAGAGAGAAACUCGUAGUAGAGAAAAUACAUAUGGGGAAAAGGAGAAGACUCUUGGGAACAACAGUAAUAAAUUUGGAUUACCUGACGGGCGGUUUACCUUCAGAUCUGAUGAUGACCGAGAAGUUGAUGGAAGCCAUACUUGCCAGCAGGAGCUGAAGAGUCCUCACUACAAUGAUAAUAACAAAGCAACAGGAAUUGAUACUUCAAGUGACAAGUCAGGAAAGAGACAGAGACAGGAGGAACAGGCAACUGAUGGCAACAUGUUGGACUUGGAAAGGAACAAUAAGAAGUUUCACAUGGAAACUGGAAGAGAUGCUCAUCAAAGUCCUCAGCGUCUUCAUAAUCACAAAAAAACAGAUGCUCGUCAAAGUUCUUGUUCCUCAUCAAAAAAUCAUCCUCGGUGUAAUGAUGAUCAGAGAUCUUCAAUGACUUCCGAAUACAAAUCCAGAGAGGGAAGAGGAUCAAGUAGAGAAGAGUGGAGAAAUAAUAUGAGAGAAAAUUCUUAUAGGGGAGGGUCACCCUCGAGGAGAAGAAAUUCUCAAAAUAGAUCAAGGAGACAUUCUCCAGAAGGGCGAAGGACGGAGUAUCGUAACAGUCAUCAUAGAAGCAACAACCAACACAGAUAUGAGCAACAUCGACACGAUGAUUAUUUCAAAUGUCGUGAUGAUUAUUCCAAACGCCGUGAUGUUGAUACUGGUCGAAGGAGGUCGAGUCGUCGUGAGGAUCACUCUAGUGAUGGUGCUAGGAGGAGGUCGAGUCAUCGUGAGGAUCAUUCCAGUGAUGGUGGUAGGAGGAGGUCGAGUCAUCGUGAGGAUCAUUCCAGUGAUGGUGGUAGGAGGAGGUCGAGGCAUCGUGAGGAUCAUUCCAGUGAUGGUGGUAGGAGGAGGUCGAGUCAUCAUGAGGAUCAUUCCAGUGAUGGUGGUAGGAGGAGGUCGAGCCAUCAUGAGGAUCAUUCCAGUGAUGGUGAUAGGAGGAGGUCGAGUCAUCGUGAGGAUCAUUCCAGUGAUGGUGAUAUUGGCGGAAGGAGGUUGAGUCCCCAGCAGUCAGCACUUCCUUCUGGUAAUUUUGGUACUAGUCUCAGUCCCCCUUCACAUCCGACCACUGAAUAUGGUGCUAGCAGAAGGCAUGGUUCCCCUCCAUAUCAGAGAUCUGAACAUGCUGCUAGUGGAAGCCGUGGCCCCUAUAUGAACCCACGAGGAUCAGGCCCUGCAGACUACGAAAUGGAAAGGAGAAGUGUUCCCCUUCACCACGAUGUGCCCAAUGUCGAGGAGUACACUGGUCGACCACUGAAUAUGGUGCUACCAGAAGGCAUUGCUUCCGUUAAUACGUACUCUAUCCUUGGCCCCUAUAUGAACCCACGAGGAUCAGGCCCUGCAGACUACGAAAUGGAAAGGAGAAGUGUUCCCCUUCACCACGAUGUGCCCAAUGUCGAGGAGUACACCGGUCAACCACUGAAUAUGGUGCUAGCAGAAGGCAUUGCUCCCGUUAAUACGUACUCUCUCCGAGGGGAAUCUCCUGGUGCAUAUGGUCCUGGAACAGAUGCCGGCAUGGGCGAAGAAACCACAUUCCGUGGUGGGCGUUUCGGUGAUCAUGGUGUGAGGUCAGAUUAUCCACGAAGCAGCAGCAUGAAUGCAGAGGAUAGGGCUUUUGCUGCAGGGUCCGUUACGGAUAGGUAUGUCCCGCGCCUCGACCGAACGAACCACCCAGUUAGAGUUGAUGGUUAUCUGCCGGAUUAUCCCGUAUGGUAG
RNAcentral lists this ribosomal RNA (3282 nucleotides) under Triticum aestivum (bread wheat). RNAcentral's name for it is "partial small subunit ribosomal RNA". The record is from RNAcentral. Lineage: Eukaryota; Viridiplantae; Streptophyta; Magnoliopsida; Poales; Poaceae.